AGUGAACGCUGGCGGUAGGCCUAACACAUGCAAGUCGAACGGCAGCACAGUAAGAGCUUGCUCUUACGGGUGGCGAGUGGCGGACGGGUGAGGAAUACAUCGGAAUCUACUUUUUCGUGGGGGAUAACGUAGGGAAACUUACGCUAAUACCGCAUACGACCUACGGGUGAAAGCAGGGGAUCUUCGGACCUUGCGCGAUUGAAUGAGCCGAUGUCGGAUUAGCUAGUUGGCGGGGUAAAGGCCCACCAAGGCGACGAUCCGUAGCUGGUCUGAGAGGAUGAUCAGCCACACUGGAACUGAGACACGGUCCAGACUCCUACGGGAGGCAGCAGUGGGGAAUAUUGGACAAUGGGCGCAAGCCUGGUCCAGCCAUACCGCGUGGGUGAAGAAGGCCUUCGGGUUGUAAAGCCCUUUUGUUGGGAAAGAAGAGCAGCAGGUUAAUACCCCGCUGUUCUGACGGUACCCAAAGAAUAAGCACCGGCUAACUUCGUG
Molecule: ribosomal RNA, 492 nt
Filed under: uncultured bacterium
Lineage: Bacteria
Description: partial 16S ribosomal RNA
Rfam family: Bacterial small subunit ribosomal RNA
Source: RNAcentral